GAUGAACGCUGGCGGCGUGCCUAAUACAUGCAAGUCGAGCGAACAGACGAGGAGCUUGCUCCUCUGACGUUAGCGGCGGACGGGUGAGUAACACGUGGAUAACCUACCUAUAAGACUGGGAUAACUUCGGGAAACCGGAGCUAAUACCGGAUAAUAUAUUGAACCGCAUGGUUCAAUAGUGAAAGACGGUUUUGCUGUCACUUAUAGAUGGAUCCGCGCCGCAUUAGCUAGUUGGUAAGGUAACGGCUUACCAAGGCAACGAUGCGUAGCCGACCUGAGAGGGUGAUCGGCCACACUGGAACUGAGACACGGUCCAGACUCCUACGGGAGGCAGCAGUAGGGAAUCUUCCGCAAUGGGCGAAAGCCUGACGGAGCAACGCCGCGUGAGUGAUGAAGGUCUUCGGAUUGUAAAACUCUGUUAUUAGGGAAGAACAAAUGUGUAAGUAACGAUGCACGUCUUGACGGUACCUAAUCAGAAAGCCACGGCUAACUACGU
Molecule: ribosomal RNA, 496 nt
Filed under: uncultured bacterium
Lineage: Bacteria
Description: partial 16S ribosomal RNA
Rfam family: Bacterial small subunit ribosomal RNA
Source: RNAcentral